RNAcentral lists this ribosomal RNA (497 nucleotides) under uncultured bacterium. RNAcentral's name for it is "partial 16S ribosomal RNA". It matches the Rfam family "Bacterial small subunit ribosomal RNA", at positions 28 to 507 of the family's 1533-position model. The record is from RNAcentral.
GAUGAACGCUGGCGGCGUGCCUAAUACAUGCAAGUCGAGCGAACAGACCAGGAGCUUGCUCCUCCGACGUUAGCGGCGGACGGGAGAGUAACACGGGGAUAACCCACCUAUAAGACUGGGAUAACUACAGGAAACCGGCGCUAAUACCGGAGAAUAUAUUGAACCGCAUGGGCCAAUAGUUAAAUACGGUUUUGCUGUCACUAAUAGAUAGAACCGCGCCGCAUUAGCGAGGUGGUAAGGUAACGGCUUACCAAGGCAACGGUGCGUAGCCGCCCUGAGAGGGUGCACGGCCACGCUGGAACUGAGACCCGGUCCAGACUCCUCCGGGAGGCAGCCGUAGGUACUCCGCCGCAAUGGGCGAAGGCCUGACGGGGCAACGCCGAGUGAGUGAUGAAGGUCUUCGGCUCGUAAAACGCUGUUAUUAGGGUUGAACAAAUGUGUAAGUAACUAUGCACGUCUUGACGGUACCUAAUCAGAAAGCCACGGCUAACUCCGUG